This 425-nucleotide ribosomal RNA is filed under the name uncultured bacterium. RNAcentral's name for it is "partial 16S ribosomal RNA". It matches the Rfam family "Bacterial small subunit ribosomal RNA", at positions 354 to 796 of the family's 1533-position model. The record is from RNAcentral.
GUGGGGAAUCUUAGACAAUGGGCGCAAGCCUGAUCUAGCCAUGCCGCGUGAGCGAUGAAGGCCUUAGGGUUGUAAAGCUCUUUCGUGGGGGAAGAUAAUGACUGUACCCCAAGAAGAAGCCCCGGCUAACUCCGUGCCAGCAGCCGCGGUAAUACGGAGGGGGCUAGCGUUGUUCGGAAUUACUGGGCGUAAAGCGCACGUAGGCGGACUGGAAAGUCAGGGGUGAAAUCCCGGUGCUCAACCCCGGAACUGCCUUUGAAACUCCCAGUAUUGAGUUCGAGAGAGGUGAGUGGAAUUCCGAGUGUAGAGGUGAAAUUCGUAGAUAUUCGGAGGAACACCAGUGGCGAAGGCGGCUCACUGGCUCGAUACUGACGCUGAGGUGCGAAAGCGUGGGGAGCAAACAGGAUUAGAUACCCGUGUAGUCC